GGAGGGGUGGCUGAGUGGUCGAAAGCACCGGUCUUGAAAACCGACGAGUCGUAAGGCUCCCAGGGUUCGAAUCCCUGCCCCUCCG
RNAcentral lists this transfer RNA (85 nucleotides) under Neptunomonas antarctica. RNAcentral describes it as "tRNA_Ser_TGA". It matches the Rfam family "tRNA". Rfam says of the family: Transfer RNA (tRNA) molecules are approximately 80 nucleotides in length. Their secondary structure includes four short double-helical elements and three loops (D, anti-codon, and T loops). Lineage: Bacteria; Pseudomonadati; Pseudomonadota; Gammaproteobacteria; Oceanospirillales; Oceanospirillaceae. The record is from RNAcentral.